UUUUGACACUAACACCCAUUUGGUUCGGGGUUAAAAGGUGGAAUAACCCCUUAACCCCGAAGUUAUUUCCAAACAUCCAAUUUGAGUGGUGGGGUUAGCUAAUUCCAUCCCAAAUGGGCUAUUCCGGGAUAGCCCAUUUGGGGUGGAGUUAGUUGACCCCACCUUACCCCACUAUUCCAACCAAACAAAAUACUAUUUUACCCAGUAUCCUUCUUAUUCCACCUAGUCCAACCAAACACUAUUUUACCUAUAUCUAGACUAAACCCAAUUCUCAACCAAACACAUAAUUACUCUAGCCCCAUCUUAACCCUGAACUUAACUCUAUCCCUGAAAUAACAAGUUUUUACUUAACUCCGAACCAAACGGCGGGAGUGUUUGUUUGGAUGGAAGUGAGGGGGAAGUGGAGAGGGGGGAAAUUGUUUACGUCGUAAACUAUCAUUUCCGUUGUUUGGUUCGCCGUAAAAUAGUUACGGCCGAAACUCGAGUUAACCCGAAAUGGCAUAAUUGACUUCGGCCCAUUGUGGGCCGAAAUCAAUUACGGUGAAGGAGGGUGAAGAAAAAAUAAUAAAAUAAUAUACUAGAUACAGAUAAUUAUAUUUAAUUAUGGUAUUAAUUAUUUUUUUAUUCGGUUGACAUAUCUAAAAUAUGAUAAAAAUUGAUUAAUCAAGUAUUAAUUUUUUUUACUUCAUGGUUUUAUUGUUGUAUUAUUAUAAUUUAUGUAUAAAAAAAUAAUUUAGUUGUUUUAAAUUAAAUUUUAAUUAUAUAAAAUAUAAUUAUAUUAUUUUUAUUUAUUAAAUUAUUUAUUAUUUAUAUAUAAAUUAUAGUUUUACAGCAUACACUUUCUACCAAACAAACAGCAGAACUAAUGAAACUCCGCUUCCAUAACUACAAAACAAACAACGAAAAAUAAAUAGUUUUCACCGAACUCCACCUCAAUUCAAAGUCCACUUCAACCCAAAGUCAAGUUUCUGUGAAAUAAACAUGCCCUAAGAGUCCAUUUGUUUUGAUGUAUAUGGAGUGAUAGAACUCAAGUUCCAUCACUUUCGUUAUUUAUUUUGAUGUAAGUCAAAAAUAUAAUAUAACUCUUACCUACUCUCGAUUUCCUCUUCUAAAGUAUCGAACUCGACUUCCGCCACUCUCAAUUCCUCUAAAAUAUUUAUUAAAUAGUAAAAUAUAAACUCUACUUUCUUUAUAAUAGAUUAGAAUUAUCUUAUUUAUAAUAAUUAGAAUUACCUUUAUAUAAUAAUAAAAAAUUUAAUUAUCUAAUAGAUUAAAUUUUAUAGCGGUAAAUUUAUCACUAAAUUUAGGAGAUAACGGAAUCCACUUGCUUACAUCAAAACAAACAACGAAACUCAAAAAAUUAAUUUUUACCAGCAUCAAGUUACAUCAAAACAAUCAGAAGAAGUAAUUGAAUUUAAUUUUCAGACUGUACGAGUUACGUUAAAACAAACAACAAAAAUAUAAUCACAUUUCUUUUCUUUAUUUUUUUGAGAGAUAGGUAGCACGCUACCCGCUUCGUUUAUUUCAUUUAGAAAUAAACUUAGCUGGAAAUGUGAAUCAACUAGGAUUCGAACUUGGGUUUCGGGUACCAACCAUCAAGCCCUUUGCCACUUGCUCUAGGAAAGGUCGGUAAUAUAAUCACAUUUUAGAAAAACUCAAAUACCACUAUACUUGACUUACGUUAGAUCUACAUAUUCAUCAAUCCAAACGCUCCCUAUGCGUUCACAAGUACAGCUUUGUUACAU
RNAcentral lists this long non-coding RNA (1745 nucleotides) under Ananas comosus (pineapple). Its description in RNAcentral is "long non-coding RNA (ACOM_LNC018134)". Lineage: Eukaryota; Viridiplantae; Streptophyta; Magnoliopsida; Poales; Bromeliaceae. The record is from RNAcentral.